GGGGCCAGCUGACAUCCUGCCAUGCUUAGGCCCUGGGCUGUUUAUCUGUGCCUGCAGUCUGUCUGUCUUUGAGUCUGGAGCAAGGGAUGUUGGAGUCUGCAGAGCUGAUGUCUCAGGGGGUCAUCACUGAUGGAAACUAAGCUCAUCCCCAGAUAAACUUGGCCCACAUUACAGCAUCCAUCCUUUGGGUAUACUGCAGAAAUCACUCCAGCUCUCUUCAGCACCCUGGGCAGCACGUGGACUUCUAAUUGUACUCCCUACUCAUUGCUGUGCACCUAGUAGUUACUUCAACCAAGACAUGGAUAUGGUCACUCUGGCAGGAGAUCGUGCCCUGAAAAUCAAACCUGCCAAAGACGAUGGUCAAAGCCAUUAGAAAGAUUGCAGCUUGAGGGCCGCCCCUCUCCAACCCCUAAAUGUGAGCACCGAAGUUCCUGUAAUUGUGUUGUGUUCGGGAGCAAAUUGUGCCUGGAAAUAUGUUUGCGAGGCCUUCUCCACAAGGCUGUGCCAUGUGCGCGAAGCAGCUGCAGGAGCCGGGAAGGUGCACGCAGGACUUCAGCAGUCUCUUGGUGGGGGAUUCCGCUCCUGAGCUGGAAGCCUCCAUCUCCCCACUGCCUCUCCAGUGGUGGGAAGCUGCCGAUGUAUUUGUUUUUAAUUAUUUCCCCUGUUGCAUUCGCUCUGUUUUCUUGCUUACGUUAACACAGCUCUCCUCACUGCCCGCGCUCAGCUGCCUAUUUGUCAUUUCUGCUGUUUGACGUGUCGUGGUAAUCUAUGUGCACCCAGCCUGCUGUGCAUCGAUAUUUACUAAUGGAGCUUCUUGUAUGCAGAGGCUGUUUGCAAUAAAAAGAUAAUGAAGAAAA
Anas platyrhynchos (mallard) is the source of this 857-nucleotide non-coding RNA. NCBI's taxonomy places the organism in Eukaryota, Metazoa, Chordata, Aves, Anseriformes, Anatidae. The record is from RefSeq and is a predicted model, not a curated record.